This is a long non-coding RNA of Dreissena polymorpha, 818 nucleotides long. RefSeq lists it as uncharacterized. NCBI's taxonomy places the organism in Eukaryota, Metazoa, Mollusca, Bivalvia, Myida, Dreissenidae. The record is from RefSeq and is a predicted model, not a curated record. The transcript has 3 exons.
GUGAACAACAUUCAGACUUAUUAUUCUAGUGUAAAAUGUCUUGAAAUACUUUCAGCAUGAAGUAUUGUGUGAUGAAAUAAAAUGUGUAUUUAAUUACUACAAUGUGUAAAUCAACAAUAAGUUUGUUGCAAAGGAGAUUCAAAGUGGGUGGUUAAAGACAUAUAAAGUGAUAUGGUCUAGUUCAACAACUGCCUGUAUUUUUGGAAUACUGAAGAACAGUCUGUUGUAACAGGUUAAACCCCAUGGUGACCGUGAAAUUUACAUUGAUCAGAAGAUCCUUUGGAAAGAAUGUGCAUCAUCGCAUCGCCUGCCAAAAAAGGGAGCAAAAGGGAGACUAUAUAUAUGUAACCUGAUGUAUUGACUUGAAUACCAGGUUUUACCCUGCACAAGCUGGCCAACAUGAGGAGAACAGGAGUGGGAAAACCGCGCCCUCUCCUUGACCAAGAAAAGCUGGAUUUGUUUAGAGGUCAAACUAUACAGGGUACUGGUUAUUGCAUUUUAAAGGUGUCCCACUUCCGACCAGUCCACACAGCCAAAUGAGACCACAUAUCUUGGACCUGAUCAAUAGAGAUCAUGCAUGAGACGCACCGCGCAAAGGCCAUGACAGUAUAAUAGUUGCAAAGAAGUUUGACCGGCUGGUGGCAGAUGUGGAGAGAAAGAUGAGAGCCGCACUCCGCCGCCUCAAAGAAAUGACAGGCCUUGAUUGAUUCUCAUCUUUUUUAUGUAUAUAGAUGUUCCUGUGUAUAUACUGUACAUGUUAUUUAUAAGUAUGCUAUUAUGUUUUGUUUAUUUAUAAUCUAAUUAUGUUAAUAUUUAUU